GUUACAAUACGCCUUUAUUGGCCUUGAGACGUGGUUCCUGCAUGUGUUGUCGGCAUUAGAGAUCAUCGAUCUGUCUUGUUGGUAGUGUGUGUACUGAGCUAUUGUUUUCUUAUGUAUUGUCGCGAUUCUGACAAAAUGGUUUUCAUCGACCCGUCUUGUAACACGGACCA
RNAcentral lists this ribosomal RNA (170 nucleotides) under Tetraselmis sp. GSL018. RNAcentral's name for it is "partial Eukaryotic large subunit ribosomal RNA". Lineage: Eukaryota; Viridiplantae; Chlorophyta; Chlorodendrophyceae; Chlorodendrales; Chlorodendraceae. The record is from RNAcentral.